Molecule: long non-coding RNA, 31589 nt
Filed under: Vigna radiata
Lineage: Eukaryota; Viridiplantae; Streptophyta; Magnoliopsida; Fabales; Fabaceae
Description: long non-coding RNA (VRAD_LNC002994)
Source: RNAcentral
AUUUUUAUUGUAUUAAUUUUAUCAAUACUCAAGUAUAAUUUAUAUUAGUUUAAAGCUGAAUUUUUCAACUAAAUAAUAUUUUAUGAAACGAAUUUUUAAAAGUACAGACUAAUUUUAUUCUUUAUUAUAUUAUUCAAAACCUGUGAUGGACUGAGAUUGAAGGAUGUAUGGGGUUGUAAAUUUUAGUUAACUUCAUAGUAUUACAAAGGUUUAAUACUUUUUUUUCUCUCGAAAGAGGGGGAAUGUUCAAAUUCAUUAUACCUUUUUUAAAAAGUUAAAAUGGGUCCCAACUUGUGAAAAAACUAUUCAAGUUAAUCUUUUUUUGUUACGAUGUUAAUUUUUUAACAGUGUAGCUGACACCCUGGACAAAACAUAAUGACAUGUUAGAAUAUUUGAGUGUGUGAGGGUGAAAUGACAUGUAAAAAAAUAAAUUGGGAAAAAAAAUAAAUGGCAUGACACUGUACUCUGGGAGGUUAAAAAAACAGGGGUUAGGGUUCGAGAGAAAUCACGAAUUAGGAGUAAACAUUAUGGUGAAAGUGGUGUUCAAAUUGGGGUGUCGUCGAAGCUGAAAUUUGAAGAGCGAAUUCAAAAGUGUAAAUCAGGUUAGUGUUUAUGUUUUAUAAUUUUCCGAAUUUGUGUUAUUGUUUGGUUAUGAUAUUUGUCGCGUUGCCGCGUUUUGGGCGGGGGGGUUAACUACGGGUUAAAUUGUUGUGUGAAAAGUUGUCUUGUUUUGAGGGUUGAUAGUGGUCUCAUAUGUCUUAGUUUAACUUAAUUUAGUGGUCCCCGUUUGCAUUUGCAGGGUUCGAGUUGGGAUGUCUAAUGACAGGUUUCAGGUAGUGGUCCACCACGGUGAGACCUUGAUCAAAGAAGUGCCCUUUAAAUAUAUAGGUGGGGAGAUAGUUUAUUAGGACGUAGCUGACCGCAAUAAAUGGUGUUAUUUUGGAGUAUUAGGUUCACUUAAACAUCUGGGUUACAUUGAAAUACAAGAAUUAUAUUACAAUAUCCAACAUAUUUUACAUAAGCUUUAUGAUGAUAAAGGAGCUAUGGACAUGAUGAAGGUGGCUAAUUAUUUGGGAAAGUAAACCUAUAUGUUGUACAUGGGGUGGACGAACCAGUUGUUGUAGAAAAUUAUGAGAAUGAGAUUAUUUACCUAUGUGAAGGUCCUACAGAGAGUGUUGAGGGUAGUAUCGUUAGAGGAGAAGCACAUGUUGAUGGUGGUGAUGAAGGAAUUGGGGACGUAGAAGUUGAAUUGGAAAAGGAGGUUGAGGAUGAGGGUGCAAUGAAGGUUGAGAAUGAGGAUGCAGUGGAGGUUGAGAAUGAGGUUGCAGUAGAGGUUGAGAAUGAGGAUGUAAUGGAGGUUGAGAAUGAGAGUACAGUGGAGGUUGAGGUUGAAAGUGAAUAAGCAGUGGAAGUGGACAGUGAGGAUGGAGUUGAGGUUGAUAGUCAAGAAGAAGUGGAAGUGGACAGUGAGGAUGAACCAGGAAUGGAUGAUCUGAGUGGUGAUGAAUACGUGGAUCAAGACAGUGAUAAUGAAACCCAACAACAGUAUAGGGGUUUGUCAGAGGAUGACAACAAGGAUAAAUUAUGUGUAGGUCCCUUUUCAAAAUAUGCAAAACAGAAGUCGAUGCCAGAUUAUAGGUGGGAAGUGGGCAUCAUUUUUAGCAAUAAGGAAGACUUUGAGGAUGCCAUUAGAAGGUAUGUUGUUCAUGUUGAUAGGACUCUAAAAUUUGUGAAAAAUGAUAAUCGUAGGAUGAGGGUUAGAUGCAUGGGUGGCUAAGGUAAAUGCCCAUGGGUAGCUUACUGUGGAUAUUUGCCAUCACGCAAAAUUUGGCAAUUGAGAAAGAUAAUUGACACUCACAGUUGUAGUAAGUAACUUAACAAUAAACUGAUGAAUGCUAAGUGGUUGAGUUAGGAAAUAGAUAGGUCUUUAGUUGACAAUCCUAAUCUGAUGUGGAGGGCUGCCAUAUGUACAUAUCCCCAGGCUUGGGAGAGAGAAAUGUUGAAAAUUAAAGAAGUCAAUAUUGAAGCAUAUAAAUACCUCAUAGGCAUUCCCAUGAGGUAACCCAUUGGCCAUUACAUGCACAUUUCAGUCACUCAUGCAUUGUAACCCAUUUUGGAAAUUUUUGUGCAACAGGUUUUGGUCAAGAUCUCACUUCACAGGUCAAACAAUGCGUGAUACCCUAAAUAGCAACAUCAGUGAAGCUUUCAACAAUGUUCUUGUUCAUGCUAGAGGAAAACCAAUUAUCACCAUGUUGGAGGAUACCAGAGUUUAUCUCAUGAAAAGAUGGGCCACCAAUAUAAGUAAGGUGGCAUAUAUGGGCUUCACAAUAUCCCAAAGAUAAAAGAGACUUCAGAAGGAAUCAAAUUUGUCAAGAUUUUGGGUCUCAAGGUAAUAUUAUCAUUUAUGUUCAUAUACAUUUGUCAUUUAUCUUCAUUGUUGAAGUGCUUUAUUUAUUUCAGUUGGCCUGCACAAAAUAUUUUUGAGGUUAGCCACACUUCAGCCGUUGAGAACAAGUUCACACUGGACUUGGACACUAAAAAAUGUAGCUGCAGAAAGUGGAUGAUCAGUGUCAUCCCAUGCUAUCAUGCAAUUGCAACAAUGAACUACUCAAAUGUAGACUCAGAGAAUUUUAUACCCACUUGCUUUAGAAGAUCCACAUAUGAAGAAGUGUAUGCCUCUAUAAUUUUUCUAGUGAAUGACCACCUGCUAUGGGAAAGAACAACCUUCUCUGAUGUACUGCCACUAGUGAAGAGGAAGUUGCUUGGGAGACCAAAGAAAAAAAGGAGGUUGGAGGCAUGAGAGCUAACUAAGGAUGACACUCAAAUGCGUGUUGGUAGACAUAGAAAAAAAUGUAGCAUUUGCCGUCAGAAGGGGCACAACAAGAAUAACUACCCUUUACGUCCCCAGCCAGCAGAAACAACAGAGCUAAUGGAUGAAACACAACCAUCAUAGGCACCUCCAAGUACCCAAACCCUAUACCAUUACAGCCACCAAGUCCCCAAUCAACCCAUCCACUAGUGUUGAGGACAAAAUUAGAUGUUAGAAGAAAAGCUACUUAGAUGAAUUAGAUGUAUUAUGUACUGUGAUUAAGAACUUUAUGUCUUUACUUUCAUGGUGAUGUACUGUGCUUCAUGAACUUUAUUUAAGUAUCUUGGUCAUAAGUUGUACUCAUAUUUUGCUCAUGUACUGGUAAUAUAUAUGUAUGGUAAUGAAGGAAAGUGCUUUGAUGAAUUAACCUAUACUCAUAAUUUCUUAUUUCUUCAUAAUCUUAUGUUAACAGUUUUGUCAUCAUCAUAUACAUUAUUGGCUUGACCUAUGUGAAUAUUUUUAAAGCAAAUGGGAGAUUGAUUCGAAUAUUCUCCACUGAAUUUAACUCAUUAAAAUAGUCAAUGCUACGUAAUACAUUGCAUGACUGAUCUUACACCAACCAAAACACCUUGACAUUGCCAACCUACUUUUUUCAAGCAUCCAAUACAUUACAUGAAUGUCAACAAAACAUAAAAGAAACACCCAAUUUCCCCACCUCAGAACCUGAAAGUCACAAGGUUCAGCGUAAUAUACACAAACAAAGCUACAACUAACAACUUCAUCCUUUUCUUCAAAUCCUUCACUACAUUUUCCAGAUCACUUAUCCUCCUCACAAUUGUACAAUCUUUUUCAUCAACGUUUUUUUUCAGAACACCGCUUGAAAAAGUUACACGAGCUCCCAAUUGAAGAUCCACCCUAUUAUUCACCAAGUUAGGGAAUCUAUCACCAAAUGCAUAAAGUGAAGAAAACAUAAACUCGGAAGGGUAUACUUAAAACCUUGUAAUGAGAACAUCUCCAAAAAUUUCUGCCAGCAUUCUCCGUAGUUCCCGCGACUUUGGUUACAACAAUAUUACCACAGUAACAAAUAGGGAUUAUCCCACCUCCCCUCCAACCAUCACCAUGAGACAAACGCGAAGAUCCUUUGACCCAACUUUUCGAAAACGAAGAACACCCUUGGGAAGAAGCCAUUCCUAUCUCGCCCCAAACACUUUUCUCACCUCAACGACUAAGUUGGAGGAACCUAAACCCUAACCCCUCUUUUUUUAACUUCUGCCACGUUAUCUAUUUUUUUUUUCACAAUUUUAACCUCAAAUAGUCACACGGUCACAUAAAAUAGACACGUCAUUAUGUUUUGUCCAGGGUUCAGUUACACUGUUAAAAAAUUAAUGUCAUAACAAAAAAGAAUUAAUUUGAACAAUUUUUUCAUAAGUUGAAACUCUUUUUAAUUUUUUUAAAAAAAGUAGGACGAAUUUAAAUAUUCCCUAUUUUUCAAGGAAUCAAAAGAGGCAUUAAGCCUAUUAUUAACAUUGAGUUUAAAAGUUGAAAUUUGUUACAUUAUAGUUUUUAUGAUUUAUAACUUCUGAAAAUGUAUAUGUAUGAAGAUUUUUUUUAAAAUAAUAACUUGUAAAGGAACUGUUAUAACAAUAUUUAAAAAUUAGGUAAAUAAAAAUCACUUUCCAUAUAAGGUUUUUUUCUUCUUUUUGUGUUAAAUUGAUAUCUUUUAAGAAAAUAUAUAGUAUUUUUAUCUGUAAAACGUUGAUUAUGGACUGAAUUCUUUUCGGUAUAUUUUUUUGAAAUAAUAACCUUUCACUACUCUAUUUUUUUUUCGUAAAAAUUCCAUUUUAGUUCAUAUUUUAUAGGAUGAUAAAAAAAUUAUGACCUCUUUCAAAAGACAACAACAUCAAGUAAUUAUUUUUAAGCUAAAUAAAAUUAUUAUGAACUAUAAAUUUUUCAAUGUUUAACUUAUUUGUAUAUUAUAUUCAAACUCGAGGUCAUGUAUUAAAUAUUCAUAUAUAAAUUGAUUCAAGUGUUUAGUAAUAAACUCUAUUUAUUCUUAUAGUAAUCCUAGUUGUAGACAAGUUGUUCUUGUGUGACAUGGAUAUAAAUAACCAUGUGGAACUUGUUUUCCCUGUUUUUUUUUUCUAAUAACAUGUGCCUAGUUCAAAUUUGUUGGCCCCUUUCUAAACAUUAUCUGGGCCCAAAUUGGAAAUGAAUAGUACUCCAGUCCUAUGUAAAAUGAUUGACUUCUGUUGACUAAUUUUUAUUUUUGUAUAUAAUAUUCUUCUUCUUUGAGAUUGAUCAGAAGCAUGCCUAAUUCCUAGUUACAAUUUUAAUAUGAUAAAAAAAGUGACUCAUUCUUUUUGCAUUAAAAUUAUAAAGAAGACUAAUUCCCUAUAUAACCCUAUAUGUUUUAGUUAGAUCUUUGCAUUAAUUAUGCACUUUAAGUUUCACUUUUCCAAUUCAUGGCUUGUGGUACUUCUAAGAAUGAUGAUACAAAUCAUGAAGCAGAAAAGAAAGAGAAUAUAAUCACAUUGAAAAGUUUGUCUGGUGGACUAUUGAUUUUUCUGUAACGUGUAAUAUUGUGUCAUGUACAAUGUUGACUAUAUAUGCAGAUUACGUGCUCAAAUUAUUACUUACAUGAAUUCAUAAACAGUAGCCAUGCGCAUAAUGUUUCAUUGCUUCGUCGCUUUAAAACAUGUAACAUGUAAUUAAAUUUAUUAAUUCCAAGCACUAGUCUGAAAAUCUAAAUUUUACGUUGUAAUUUAUUCUUAGCUUUAAUAACUUAAAGUUUGACAUCAAACUAUUCCUAUUGUUAACCUUUUAUUCUUUAUAUUUCUUCAAAUUUACUUUAAUUGUUCUAUCAGAUAUAUUCAUUGAUAAUUUAUUGUUGAUUUAAUUUACCCACAAAUAAAUUCGUCAGUAAUUUAUUUGAUGAAAUCAAAUUUAUAUUUGAGAUUUUCUUUUCCUAAUUUUAUUUUUUGCUUUUUUUAAAAAUAGUCUACUUUGUAACAUUAUUUCUUUGUAUCAUUAGUGUAGGGCGGAGGUGAGUGGAUUCAAGUUCUGAUCGGGUUGUAGUUCAAUGGGAAAUAACCUAUGUUAUAAUGUUUUGCAAUUUGGAGAAAGGAUACAAGGGACACCUUGAGUUUGUAUGUUCUCAUAAAAGAUAUAAUAUUAGAUUUUUUUUUUUCUUGUGGAUGGGUAUUGGUACGUGGACAUUGGGUAUGUACGGAUUAUGGUAUCAAAGUUUGUUGUUAUUGGUCGUGUGGUCUCUAAUUACUUUCUUACUUGGUAUGGUUGUUUCAGAGGUAGGGCAUUUACGUUAAAUGUUUUCCAUGGUGUUGGGUGGGGUUACCAUGGUUUUUGUCAUUGCUAUCACAAUAUCUCCUAUACCAUCUUCCUAUACUGUGAUGGUGUGCUCAAGAAAGUCUUGUUUUUGUAAGUAGGUCCUAUUUUAGUAAUUAGGAGAGUGUUGUAGGAUGAACAAGACAUGUUUUGAUAAACAAGAUCAUGGAAGUCUUGCUUUGGAAAGUGUGCCCUAUUUUAGUAAACAGAUCAAGUUGCUCGAGUAUGGAAGAGAACAUAGUAAAAGAUGGUGAUAACAUGGUUUGCUUGGAUUAAAGUUGGUUUGGCAUGGUUUUGUUGUGUGGUGAUUUAUUUGAAAUAAGGGCAUAAUGAGGUUAGAUAUCAAUUUUAAUUAUAUCAUUAUAUGUUGUUUUGAUGUUUAUUUUGUUAGUUCACCCUUACGUUUUGUGGUUGUGGUUUCCGCUUUGAUGACCAUAUUCAUACGAGAGCAGAUAAUAUUACAAAGGUUGAUGUUGAUGGUACUAAUGUGAUGUAGAAUGAGAGACGGUGGAGAAUGAUUCUCGAAGUUUCCAAAAAGUUAUUUCUCUUUUUAAUUAAUCAUAAGGAGUCUUGGUACAUUAAUUCCAGUUGUAAUUGGAUUAUUUAUUGUUAUAGCAUAAACUUUAUUAUUUUUAUGACAACAAAAUAAAUUUUUAAAUUUUCACUACAUUGAGGUGGUAUCAUAAUUUUAUUUAAUUGAUGUCUUUUGUGUUUGGUUGGGUUAGAUUUUAAUAGGGUUGUUUCCUUUUGUCAAAGGUUAUUGCGGUAGUAAUGUUUUAACUUAUAUGUUUGACUUGCAUUUUGGGCUUACAAUGUUGAUAUUAGUUGUCUUGCUUCUAAACUCCAUAUUGUAAUUUCUUACAAAACAAAAUCAUGAUCCCUACAAACUGCAUUGUUUAUGUUUUCUAAAACUUAUAUAAGAUAAAUUGUGAGUAUGGUGGACGAUUUAAAUGGGGAUUGUAUUUUGCAGAAAGAUGAAUAAAUAAGUCUUGAUCGUUUAAUUGCUUAUAAUUCAAGAUAUCUCUUUUAUAUCUUUUGUUUUGAUUUUUAGGCUAGUUAAAUAGCUACCUUUAAGAUGAUUUAUAAUUAAGAGAUGUUGGAAAAAGAAUGGAUUAGUUUUAACACCUAGAAGAUGAAUUGGUGAAAAUAAAAAAUCAGAAUCUUUUCAAAAUCUUUUUCACAAAGUGUAAACCUUUCAAAAGUUUCUUGAAUCUCGUAUGAAAAAGAUAAAUCAAUGCAGCAAAAAAUAGUUGACGAUACUGAAAAUAUAGUCGACUUUAAAAUAAAGAGAUCAAGGAUAGAGAAAUUCAAACAUAGUUUUUAUACUAGUUCGACCAAACUGCCUACAUCCAGUGUCCUUCCUCUAACCGAAAGCAAAUGCACUAUAAUGGUCAAGGUUUUUACAACAAGGUUUCUAUAGGGACCUUCAUGUCAAAAUAUAAAACACCUCUCUAACCCUCUAACCAAAUAUAGGCAUACAACACCUAAAAAACAACAAGAUAUCCCCUCUCCUACAGUCUUUGUCAACUUUGAACAAUCCUCAAAGUUUUCCUAGCUCUUCCUGUAAUCACAAUAGGGCAGCCACAAUCUUCACAAGAUUGAGAGAAGUAGAUGAUCACGUUUCCAGUACACCUCAAUGUGCAGUAUGAUCAAGCCUUUCUUUCAACACAACCUUGCUCGUUAAAUAACUAUCCAAGAGAGAUCUCCACGGUCUUCUUUAUAAGUUCUUAGAGCUUUUCACAAAGAUCAAAAUCUGAAACAAUAGAAUGAAAUUGCUAGAAUAACCAAAGUCCCUGUGUAAAACAGAAUCACGUCUAUUUAUAGUUUUCUGUAAAAAAGACGCUCUUGUAGUCGACUUCACUACUAAUCCAGUCGACUUCAGUCAAACAAUUAAAAUAGUUAAAACCAAUUAGUAGCAGUCAGACCAACCAAAUUGAUUGGGCAUUUAAUUCAGUUGACUUGCAAUUAAUGCUUUGUCAAAUAGACAAUAUAUAGCUGUUAUAGUUCACAAACAUUAACAGAAAUUCAAAACAUAACUAACUAAGUCGAGUUGCCUACGUAGACAGUCGACUAUGUCACUUCAAUGUAGUUUUGAAAAUCUUUCCUUUGCAAAAAUACUCACAACACUGUUUUUGAAAAUUUGUGCAAAGUCACGAGUUUUAAUCGACUUACUUCAUAAUGAAGUUGACUUAAAACUUGCAGUUUUGCCACACAAUAUAAGUUCAACCAAGUGCAUGUGGUUUUCUUUUCUAAACACAUAUGUAAUGAAAUCACAGAAGAUAUCUCAUGUAAAGAUCAGUGAAUAUGCACACAUAUACAAAAUUAACACAAACAUGUUCUUCAAGAAUUCAUACACAAUAAAGUUUUGAACAUGUAACACAUAUCAAUACAUGUGUUAUUAAUAAUGUGUUGUCAUCAUCAAAAACCAAAAAUACUGUGAGAUUAAGGUUUAGCUAAACCAGUACUUCCCUUAUCAACAAUCUCAACAAGAGAUGUGGGACCUAAACCCUGUUUAAACAUUACAUUUCAUAUUUAAGAUCUCUGAGUCCUAUAUCCCUUAGUUUACUCAACCUACUUCCUCUACUACACCUACAUAGGCAAACCUAAGGCUUCCUUUGUAUUUGCAUUAAAUUGCAUUUCUUCUUUAAGAUACAAUUUAUCUCUUAGUUUGAAUUUUGGGUCUUAUCUUGUAAAAAACAAGUGGCAAUCCUUCCUUAUUAUUCCAUAUCAUGUAAGAACUAAACAAAUAAGAACAAAAAUGAAAUUAAAAGGUAUAAAAUGAAAAGGAGAAAAGGAAAAGAAACUUAGGAAAUUGAAGCCACGCUGUUUGGAGGGAUCCAAUAUAAGUGCAAGGGAGGAUCAUAAUUUGUUCUUUAAAAGAUAAGUCUCAAAAUAAUUUAGACUAAAAGAUAUAUUAUCUUAAAGAAAAAAUGUAAUUUAAUGUAAAUCGCUUUAAUUUUCAUUUAGUGAAAGGUUUAUUACUACAAAUGAGGCCUUAGGUUGCUUAUAUAGGUGUAAGAGAGGAAGUAAAUUAAGUAAAUUAAGUAAAUUGAAAGAUGUGGAACUUGGAGAUCUUAAAUUUGAAAUGGAACGUUAUAAACAGGUUUUAGGUACCACAUUUCUUAAUUCUACAUUACCCUAAAGAUAUAUAAGCUACCCAACUAGUGUAAAAAUCAAAACUAAAGUUAUAUCAUAGAUAACUUGAAUUACAAGCAACUAAAAGAGGAAAACUUUUUUAUUAUUUUUUCUUUUUAGUCCAAACUAUUUGGAGUCGCAUAUUGAUUGCACUUUAAAGAAAAAAAGGAUCUAUAAGUAUCUCUACAACCAAACUAAGGAACUAGCAAGGCAAAAUACAAACCUAUGAAAAUCUAUGCUAAUAAAGGCCAAAAUACAUGUUAUAAAACCUAUUCUAUUCUUUUCAUUUCUUCAUGUUUUCCUUAUGUCUUGAGCCAUUUAUGAUCACAUCAGAUCAGCCCAAUGAAAAGGGGUGAACUCAAAAGCUAAUCUGAGGUUGUUCACAAAGGGUGAACUCAGAAUUAUAGGUAGGGGUCAAAGACCCUGUUAUUUUCUUCAUUCUGUCUUUCUUGUGGACAUCUUGGUGCCCUCGUAAUGUUGUGAGAUUGCAUUUUAGUGCAUUCUGUUUUCAAGUCAUAGCAUGCUUUGUAUUGAUUACAAAAUGUAGUUUUAAAGUACAUGGACAUAAGGGUCUAUAUAAGAAAAUCCAGAUUUAGAUAAAGCCGUGUCUCAUGGAAUGUUUGCAAAUAAAGAAACUGUUUUUGGCACUGUAGUAGAUGCACGUCAAACUUCUUAGUAAAAAAGGAUUCACUGUGAUUUAUUUAAGGUGAUAUCAUAUGUCUUGCUUCUAAAGUAUGCUUUAGUAAUUGUUUUUACGUUGCAUGUUGCUGUUGAACGUGGAGUAAAAUUUUGAGUAGUAGACAGAGAAGAAAAGUGGAUCCCCUAUCACUUUCUUAUGAUUCAAUAGUGGUUUUCAUACAAAUAGUAGCGAACACACUAUAAACUGAAGAACUUUGUAAUUAAAACAGCUUAAACUCAAACCAAAUCUACUCUAGGAAAGCAAUAAAAUCUACCAAACUAGCUUUGUAGUGAAGGCAGGUUCAUAACAUUAGAGAGAAGGAAAACUCAGAACUGUAAAAUCUGGAAAAGGUUUUCUUAUUAGUCACUAUGUGGUUUUCAUCCAUCUCUAAUUUUGAUAUUCGCAUUCCGGUUCUGCAACACCCCGGACUCAUCAUUUCUAAUAGCAUAUGGCAUAUUACUGCAAUAUCUUCGCACUGGUUUUUUAUUACAUUAGUCUACUACAUCAUUUAAAUUGAAGAACUUUAGUUCAAAGUCAAAAGGAAUAGAUAAUUUGGUAGAAAGAAAAAAUGAGGUAAAUUAGGAGUUAUGAUUGUAUUCUGUUGAACAGUACGUAGCAUCAACUUAUGGGCUUUGCAAGUUUAUUGGAAGACAGGAUAUGAAUGACAUAGCACGGGGGAAUCUAUUGAUUGAUUUUCUUCACUCUCGGUUCUUUGCUUAUUGGUAUAACAAUCAAAGAAUAUUACACCCCGAUUGUACUUUAGUUUAAGUCAUAGGGAAAAUUCUCAGCUAAACUUUAAUGGUUGCAGAAGAGUAAUAUAUAUAUAUAUAUAUAUAUAUAUAUAUAUAUAUAUAUAUAUAUAUAUAUAUAUAUAUAUAUAAAGACCAUAUCAAUUUGAAUUGUAAUGUGUAACAGCAAUAGGUGGUAUAAAGUGAAAAUAGAAACUUCCUCAUUUCUCUUUAUGCAAGUGAUAAAAUAAAUUGGAGAAAGAAUGAGUGUGUGAGAGAAAAAGAAUGGAGGAUUCAUGCAAGUUGUGGUAAGAUGCAUUGUUUCAUGUGUGGGGUCGGGAAUGAAUAGGACACUCCUUCACACUUUCUAUCGCGCUUGUUUGGAUAAUUUUGUUCGUCUUUUGUUAAAGUCCUUUCUGGUUAAUGUUCCAAACCGCUCGAGGAUACUUGUCAAAGGCAUUUCGAUGCUUAAGUCAUUAAUUAAUCCAGACGAUGGUUAGAGCAAAGUCAUAAAUUCACAAUAAAUAUGAUCACUUACUUUUUAUCUUUGACCUCUAUUUAUAGUUUUAGAGAUGGGCUUAAGAUUAGCAAAACCCUAAUCACGACCCCAAUCUCGGUCCAUUAUCUACUAAUUAACACUUACUCUUAACCUUGUCUAUUUGGUCUUUACCCACAUUCGGCCGAGCAAUCAUCGUCUUAUUUUGUUCAAUUUCAUGGGUUCAGACAUAUUCGAUCGGUCAUCCCUCAAUGGCUCUUUCUGCCCGGUCUUAGCUAUGUUGUCAUCUGGCCAUACAGUACAAAGGCCUCCCAAGCCCUAGCCAACCCUGGGUGGCGUUGGAUUUGAUACAUGGGUGGUGUGGAGUAGGUCUCGUGGCUAUGGUUGGAGCUUCCCCAUACGACGUGAUUUGAAUUUGUGGUAGUGGUGGGAAGACACUUGUCUUAUUAAUUAUGUGUUGUCAUCAUCAAAACCAGAAGAUCUCUGAGAUUGUAAGGUUUGGCUAAAUAAGUGUUCCCUCUAUCAAAAAUCCCAACAACCUUCAACAAAGAAAGGUCAAACCUUCAACACAAAAGAAAAAGGACACACCUUGAACUAAGAGUACAGAGAGAACAGAGGAUUGGAGAGAGAACGGAGAGUGGAGAAAGAACAACAAAGAAGUUGAAUUAUAGAGAGAGAAUGAACCCUCUUUUUCUGAAUGAAAAAAGCAAGGGUAUUUUGGAAUUCAUAAGUGUAAUAUGAUUACAUUUUCCCACGUUACCUUUUUCAAAUAAAAAAUUUAUUUUAACCUUCUCCAAUACUGUUUUUAGACAUGGCAAUUGUGAAAAAGUUAUAAAAAAAAGGUUUAAUGUCUCGAUAAGUCCUUAUUUUCGUCCUGAAUCUCAAUUAGGUCCCUUUUUUUUCGACUUCUCGAUUAGGUCCUUAUUUUUGUAAAAUUGAAUCAAUUGAGGGUCUACCGUCAAAUUAAACAAACUGUCGUUUAAAUUUACUGACGUGACAUUAAAAACGAAUUUUAUAUUAAAAAUUUGAAUUACACAAGUGUGAAUUCAAAUUUAAGAAAGGGCAAAGUAGGCAAAAUCUAAAAUUUAAGUGCAGCCCCUAACUUCAAUCUUCCAUGUUCAUUUCAUUCAACUCAAAAUUAUAUUCUGUUCAUCAGCAUCCUUCCCAAAUUCCAUCAACGUUUCCCUGUCCUUAUCAUACAGCGGGCACUCAUUCUCCAACUAACAAAGUUGGACUACCAACUUAUCAAACUCCAGUGCCAGUCUAUGAUUCUCCUCCACGAAUUUCUUCAAAACUUGCACUCGCUUCAAACUGCUCUAAAAUACCCAGAAUUCCCAUCAUCAAAUUUUCAAAAAAAAGAAAAUGAAAGAUAAAGAUUCAAAAGACCAAUCUUGCAUAAAACAAAAUCAAAUGCAACCAAAACAAAAAGUAAAAAGCCUUCCAAUUCCAACAUUAAUAAACAACCAGUACAUGAUUGGAUUAAUGUGAGUAUUUCAACAAUUUACUGAAGCUUCACAAUUGAGAUUUCCCAAAUGCAGAUUAAAAAAUGAUGAUAAAAGCAAACAAAGAGGAGCGGACCUCACCUCGUCCACAUUAAAAUCCCGAUCAAUUAACCGGUGUCCUGAGUUCUCCAAUUCAGAAACCCUAACGCUCCUUCGAGUUUCUUUCGACACUUUCGCGACGGCGGAGUCCAAAUCCUUGCGGAGGAGCGUCCCUCCCAUGAUGAAUCCCUCUUGUUCGAAGGCAAAGAGCGUCUUGGACUGCGACGGAGAAGAACAAAAUGGAAAGGUGAGACCUUGAAGGAAAUGUAAAUGUUAUUGAUGGUGGCCAAGUCGUUGAAGGAGAUGACGUUGAAUGGAGGAUGCAGAUGAUGUUGACUGGCUUCAUUACUGAGAAGGAGUUUUAGGGUUUUGAAAGAAAAGGGGUUAAUGGAAGAAGAAAAGAGGUUUGUCUUUUUUGCCCCUCUGAACAUAUUUGAUUUAACUUUGCUUAAUUAUUUUUUAAUAUAAAAAUUAAUUCAAAUUUAUUUUUAAUGCCACAUAAGAUAAAUUUAAACGGUCGUUUGUUUAAUUUAACGGCAAGUCUCUAAUUCUUCAAUUUUACAAAAAUAAGGACCGAAUUGAGAAGUUGAAAAAGAAAUGGACCUAAUUAAGAUUCAGGGCAAAAAUAAGGACUUACGGAACUAUUAAACCUAAAAAAAAAAGUUGUUAACUUAUCGCGAUCCACAAUCAAUAAAUCUCCUUUAACACGAAAACUACCUAAAAGCAAUAUCUAUAACUUAAUGUAGUAAGGAAUUUUGACCAAUAAUUUUUUAGACACAAAGUAAUAUGCUUAAACUAAGUAUAAUUUCAAUGUCUAAUCUCUAUGCAAACUAGUAGAGUCCAUUCUCUACCUAUUGUAAGGUAGUGUGGUGUUUUUAUUACACCACUUUUACUUUGCACGUGGGUAAAUGAUAUAGAACAAUUAUAUUUUUUGUAAUCACCAACAAGACCAACCCCUAACUCUGCUAUCAAAUAAAAAAGGACGGAUCUAACAAUGUGAUUAAAGGAAUUUGAGUAACCUCCACCGCUAACUCAACAUGCAAGAGUUCAUUUUCAAAUGUAUUUAGAAGUCUAUAUCACAUAUAUUCAACUAUAACUUCAAUUACUCAAAAAGCAACUUGAGCUGUAAGGAGUGCAAUGGGAAAACUCCAACCUAGAAAUCAAAACAAUAGAAACAAAAAUACAACCAAACUUAGGCAAAGACUAAAUUAGUUGAGAAAGUUAUUUUUCUCAAUUUAUAAAGUAUAAAAGAAAAAUUAAAUGGAUUUUUGAUGCAAAAAAGAAAUUUUAAUUUGAAAAGAAAAUUCAUAGGAUAGAAAUGGUAUUUUAUCAUGCUAGUAUAAGGUAGGAUAUGAUUAUGAAAAUGGAGCAUUGGAGUGAGACACUAAAAGAAAUAUUAGAGAAAAACAAACGUUUUUGCAUGCAUGAGAAAGAGAGAAUGAGGGGGAAGUUUUACAAUUUUUUAACUCAAAAAUUUGGGUUCCAUCUUUAAUUUUGUUUAUAUUUUUUUACAUUUACCAAACUAAAUUAUAUAUGUAUGGUCACAAAUGAAAUUAGUAAAUUUAGGAAUAAAUAUAAAAAUCACAUACUUUCAAAAAUAGAGAAACCAAAUGUCUCACCCGGUUUAUUCAAUCAUAAAUUGUAAUAGUUGGUACCUAAUGUUUUAACUAUAAUGUUUUAAUUAAUUAAAAAUAUAAAAAUAUUUAAUAACUUUAACUUUUAUAUUGAAUACUUCUUCGUUUAAAAAUAUGAUUUCAAAAUAGUAAUGUUUUCCCUUCCGAACAUAAAAUUCACUUCAAUAGUUUUCUAAAAUAAUACAGAAUUAUUCACUGUUUUUAUAAUCAUAUUAAAGAUUCGUGUAUUAUUUUAUCUUAAGUCCGUAAAAUAUCAUAUCGGUCGUUUAUCGACGAAAUAGGCGAAAACUGGAAAGCAAAGACUGAAGGGAUAUGUUUUGCUUAGCGAUGAAGGAAAUCUAUAUUACAAAUAAAUUAAAAAAACAAUGUCAUAAUCAAUUAAAUAUAAGAAAAAAAUAGUAAGAACCUGAUUCUAUUUUAUUUUCAUUGAAUUAACAUACCUAUAUAUUUUUGUCUGUGUCUGAAGUAGAUUCUAUUUAUACAUUCUACGAAUCUAAUACUGAUUCUGUGUUAACAUCAUACUUCAUUUUUGUCUGCCAUAAGCAGAUUCUGAUUAUAGCUGCAAUUGCAAAUAUAACAUGAUUGAGGUUAUACUUGCAACAUAACGAAAUACUUUCCCAAAAGGGCUCUUAUUUUCGUAUUGGCCCCAAAGGUUUUGGAAUAACAGCCCAUUACAAAAGAUACUUUAUUCUUUCUUUCUUCAAUCACUUUUAUUGCAGGAGGGCAGUUUGAGAUCUAUUUAGGUUAAACUCAUUCGGAGGUAUCUAUUUUUGUGUUUUUGUUUCACUUACAUUUCUGUCUUUUAUUCUUUCACCAAUUAGAUUCUUAAGAUUGAAAAAUUGAAAGAAUUUGACCUUUGCCGUUAAAUCAAGCUAACAGGAUUAACUUUCAGCUUACAUGUAAGGGUGAGGUGGAUAAAUAUGAUCACGUGGCGUGCACAGAAGGGUUUGUUUAUGUACGUGGCAUUAAAUUUAAAAAGUAGGGGUUUUGUUAAACAUUUUAAAAUUAGGGUUAUUUUAAAAUACAAUUAGGAUUAAAUCUCUUUCAGUAGUGGAGUGGUGGUUCCAACAGCACCGACUCGUCAUCACUGGCGAUGUCUACGGCUCAUCCUCAGUUGCGCCUCGGUGCUACUUCUACCGGUCUCUCCACCGUCAAGUGCAUGCAAAACGUGGCCGCCAAAGCCGUCGCGCAACGCCUCACUCGUGUCAUGGCAUCUCAGAACGCCAUCAUCGACGAAGGUGAAGAUGACGAUGAUCUCGAUUUCCGGUUCAGCGCUCCGCCUCCUACAUCUAUUUCUUCUUUCUCCAUCAACGCCAUCAGUAACAGGAGCACCAACACAAAUGCCUCCACUAUUCCUCCGAUUUUGGUUGCCAAGCCUAACAGAUCUACUUCUCCUACGAUAACUCUCUCUGCAAUUCGACACUGUUGGGUAUGUCACUGUUUGUCCAGAAUUUCAGGAAGAAAAUAGAAGAUAAACGUCACGCUAGAGAGAAAAAAUCACCAUGGUCGCGAACCGAACAGUGAGAAGGAAUUCAAAGUGAGCGCGUUGAAUGAAGAGAAAAAAAAAUAAAGUGAAUAAGAUUAACUGAAUAAGGAAUCCACCUUGUGGUCGCGACUACGGUAUUUGAACUGGCGAGGGAAAUAACGAAGGACGUAACUAAGGCCGUCAUCGGAGAGAAACAUCUCUGGUGUUAGUUUGGGCCUUGUUCGAGGAAGUUUCUUGGGCUUUUCGGUUGUGAAUCUGGGCUUGAAAGAAAAGGAAGAAGGAUUGGGAGUGGGAUUGGUGGAGGCGUUAGGGUUUGGAUUGGAAUUGGGAGCAGAGAAAGGACAGUCUCGUGACCAAUGACCUGGUCUGCCACACUUGUAACAGCCUGUGGCGGUUGCUGUUCCUUUUCCUCCAUUUUUUCACUUCUCACUGAUCACUCUCCUUUCCCAACACACCAUCUAUCUGUGGUGCGAUGGUGCUCCACCUGGACAGGAUAGAAUGCGGUGAUAGAGCUACGUGGUACAAGCAACUGUUAUCGGCAAUACUGCAGCAAUGAUUUUGAUGAUUGAGUGUCUGGUGCAGGAGGUGGUCGUCGGCGACGGUGUGGUAGCGAUCUAGGUGGCGCGGCGCAAAUAGUGAAGUAAGGAAGUUUUAGGGUUUAUGGAAGGAAGAAGGAAGAAUUUUCAGUUAUUUUAAAAAAUUUAUUCAGAAUAAAAAUUAAAUAAUACAAAUAAUUAAUAAUAAUAAUAAUAAUAAUAAGGUUAAGAAACACUAAUUUUUUAAUUCUUUGUUUAAGAUACUGACACGUGUAUAAUAAAACCAACGUAACAGGUUCUGUGCACACCACGUCACCAUAUUUGUCCACCUUACCCUCACAGGUAAGAAAAAAGUUAACCCCGUUAACUUGAUUUAACGUCAGGGGUCAAAUUCAUUCAAUUUUCCAAUCUUAAGGACCUAAUUGGCAAAAAAAAAAAGAUGAGGAUGCAAGUGGGACAAAAACACGAAAAUAGGGACCUCUGAAUGUGUUUAACCAUCUAUUUACCUGUAUUGAUGUUAAUUGAAGAGAAGGUGCUUAUUAAAUAAGUCUACUAAGUUCAUGGGGUACCAUAAUUGAGAUCUGGGACACUAGAUUGGUCGAAGAACCUUUAAUGAUUGGAUUGUGAAUAGGUGUAUGGUAAGUAAAAGUCUAUAUAAAUAUUAUAAAUAAAAAGUUUAAGGUAAUUGUUCACUUUUACUGCAACAUUUAGUAUAGCCUUUGGAUCAAUACUAAUUUAAGCAUCAGAGUGUAAUCUAUAAGUACACUUCGAACGAUUUGGACAACUUGAGACCUUAAGUAUUGAAAGGAGCUGAAAAUUGAAGUUAACCUAAGACCGAGACAUAUAGGAAAUGGAAAUGCUUGACCAAUCUAACAGAAACAUUUUUGUACCCACCGUGGGACCGAACGAGCACUUUUUUGCUGCUAUGGUAAUCACAAAGAACAUGACAAACAAUGAAGUACUAGAGGAGCAGCAUGUGGAUCCUAUGGCUAUGAUGCACGACAUGAGAAGGGAGAUGGAGACUAUGAGAAGGAAGCAUGAAGGAGAGAUGACAAUUUUGCACACAGAAAACACACUUAUGAAACAAAAACGGAAACUAAGGGACAUGUACAAUCCACCCCAACUCAACUUGGACCAACCAAACAACCAAGAAUCGAGCAUGAUCGAACAGUUCAGAAGAAAAAUUAUGGAGCUAGUAGAGAUCACAACCCAUCUGUCACUGUCACGGUAGACAUGUCUGGGUGCACCCGUUUACUAGUGGAAUCAUUAAGACCCCUUUACUAGACAAUUGGAAGAUGUCAACGUUUGACAAGUAUGAUGGAUCCACGAAUGUUAACGAGCACAUCAACAUUUGUCUAACGCAGUUGGUGUUAUUCACGUCAGAUGAUAUCAUUUAGUGCAAGGUAUUCCCAACAUCACUAAAAUGAGCCAUCCUCGAGUGGUUCAAGCUUCUAUCUGUCAACUCCAUCGGCUGCUUCGCCACAAUUAGAACGAAAUUUAGAACAUAAUUCACCACUAGCCAACAACAUCAUCUAACGUACAUAGCGCUUGUCAACAUUCGACAAUACAAAGAUGAAAUCCUCUGAACAUUCAUAGAUCAAUUUGGAAAGAUAUCUUCACAAAUAAAGGACCUAAGUCAUAAAGUGCCUAUGCAUCAGAUAAUUCACCAAAAAAACUUGUGGGAUCGUUCCCCAAUAGCCUGUUAUGCAGUCUACCACAAAUUUAGACGAUUUGAUAUAGAGAGUAGCAAAGUACAUGCAGCGAAAGGGCUUGAAAGGCUUUCGAAAGCAAAUGCGACUAUAAAGAGCAAAUGUAAAUAAGGGUACAAAUAAAAAAUCAUUCACCAAGAAUCAAGACUCAAAGUUACGGAGUCAAUCAGAGGUCCCCACUUCCAUAACCACACACCAUCGAACAAUGGUUGUUCGAAAAUCCUUUGGGAAGCUCUAAACACAUACUUGUUACCAUCACCUAGAAGAAAGGCAACCCUGUUGAACCUUGAUAGUAAUAAACAUUGUUAAUAUCAUCAUCACUUAGGCCAAAACAACGAUGAGUGUCUACCGCUAAAAUAUAAAAUAGAAGAGUUCAUCCAACUUUGACAGUUAAAGAAGUUUGUCAAAAUUGAUUAAACCCCUACCAUAGAGAAGAACCCCUAAAUGAGCAGUAUCAAUGUACAAAUAGUAUAAGGAGCAGCCUAGGUGAAGAAGCCGAAGUAAGAACAAGAGUCGGGAUGGUCCAUCGAGGGAAACAAUCAACACAACCUAAGGAGGUUUCGCUUGAGGAGGGCACACAAUAUUUUCCUAAAAGAAUCACAUUUGAGCAAUUAAAAUGAUGAAUCUCGUAGAGAAGAGAGUUAGAAGCACGCCCUUCAUCACAUUUUCUAACGAUGAUUAUAAAGCGCCUGACCCUGACCAAGACGACUUGAUGGUCAUCUCAAUCCAGCUAGCCGACUAUGCUAUAAGCAAGAUUUUGGUCAACCAAGGCAGACAAGAAGAAGAAGGAGUUGUGCUUACAACCUUCACGGCUUCCCCCGACCGAUUAGCAGAUUCCUCUUGCUCAACAAGUUCAACAGCAGCUUUGAAGAAAUUCUUCUUUAGAUUGUGGGAUGCCAUAAUCUCUGAAAGACAACAAAAAAUUUAGCUAGGUUAAAAUCAAGUCAAAAACAAACGACAAAAGGAAUGCCAUAUCGAACACCUCAGUACUGAGGUCCUCCCCACCAAGGCAAUUGAUUAUCUUUGAGGAAGGGAGCUGGCGAGGCAAGUCAUCAAGAACAUUGAGUGCCUCCUGCUCGGCCGGAGUCAUAUCUGACUGUAACCAGGAAGUCACCCAAGUAGGGUCUUCGGUCUAGUACAAAGAAAAUUUUGGUCACUCGUCUUCCCCAAAGAAUAGUAGAUGGCCAAACUCGGUUAAUUCUACCUUAAAAAAUUUAUCAUUGAAGCCCUUGAAUGAAAGAGAAUAAAGCUCAAAUAAGGCUUUCCCUUGCUCGAAGAUCGGGGCGACCCAACCGCGUUUCGGAAUAUGUCAGGUCCAAAAGUAGUGAAGAAAAAGAGCGCGGGUGUAGGUGUGAGGUCCAACACUUAGCAAACGAUGGCGAAGGCCUGAAUAUACCCCUAGUUAUUUGGAUGCAGUUGGAAUGGGGCAAUAUUUAGAGUACGGAGGACGUCCAUUUGAAAAGAGCUAAACGACAGAUACACAAACAUCUCAUGGAACAUAUAAGCGUAAGCGAAGAAGAAGUCACUCUUACUCCCUCCUUUUCCAUGAAACACACGGUCAUUCUCCUCACGGGCCAUUAACCUAAAUAGAGGACCAAAAUCCAUUGACCGCAACACAUAGUUACAAUCAGUCCAGUCCGCCAACUGACUCAUGUCAUGAGACGCUUCAAAAGUAGGUGGAGAACUCACUCACAUCAUGAGACGCUCAGUCGUAGCCCGCGACAAUGGGCAAAGCUCCCACCUGCUUGUUCUCCUCCUUAGCACCCUCCAUAAUCACCCCUCCAUAGACAAAGGUCCACUGACCGUUGAACAUAACCUCUUUAUUUUCUUCUACAAUGGAUUCAUUACCAUCACAACCACCAUCCCGCUCGGUUGACUCCAUGAAGGAGGAAGAAGACUCCGAGCCCACCGAGAAUGAGACCCCAUCAUUGCCCCACCCGCCCCUUCCCGAAGACUCCUCAGACGAAGAGAGGUUCAUGGUAGCCAUUUAUUACAUGAAUUAAAAAAAAGACAAAUAACACUUUCAAACGUUGGAUGAAAAUACGUGAAAAUUAUACAAUGGGUCUUUCCUAUUUAUAGGCAGCAAAUGGAGGACCCAAAGAUCGUCCUAACUGUUGGAUGUAAAGAAAUCCAACGGUCUGAUUCAAAGACUCCAUAACUUCCAUCCAGCAUGAGAAACGAAAAAUCACAUCCAACGGUUAAGAACAGCUGACCUUGCACAUUCCUAUCAACGCAUGAAAUAGAACCAAACGCCAAUGGUAACAAUUUCAAAAUCAAGGCAACACCCCACCCAAACCAUGCACGCUCACCAAACAGUUAGUAAAGUCCCUUGCACAUUCCUAUCAACGCAUGAAAUAGAACCAAACGCCAAUGGUAACAAUUUCAAAAUCAAGGCAACACCCCACCCAAACCAUGCACGCUCACCAAACAGUUAGUAAAGUCCCUUGCCAAACAUGUUCGUCUCGAACUUGGGAGUCUGUGUACUGUAUGAACCGACCGAUAUACGUAUACCGGUAGACCACACGAUUAAUCACCUUUAGAAACGCAUUACAACCAAAUUAAACGAACGGUCACUUACAACACUCAUCGUCGUUAGGUAUAAAGACUUUAGAUUAACAAAGUAAAAACAUACUUAAACAAUGUUAGGCUUACACUUAUCCAAAGAUAAAGACAUAGGUGAUUACAUUUGGCAUUUGAGACUUAAUUAUAACCAUUCGAUAAGACUAACUUGAAUAUCAAGAGUACAUUUCUCCUCAGAAUUUUGAGGAGAAUAACAACAUAUUAUAAGAAAGUUAAAGAGUUAAUUGAAGGCAACAAACUAGAUUAGUAUAUAUGGAAACACAUUAUUUAAAUUGUCACUCAAAACAUAUCUUAAUUACGUUUCCUCACUUCCGCAUCAAUUUAGUUUUUUUAUCAAUUUUUGUUUAAAUAUUUAGUCGAAACAUAUUCAAAAGUUACACAUUCAAGAUGAAAAGGAAAUAAUUUAAAAAAUAACCAAGAUAGUAAAAUAAAAUUUAUUGUGGAUAUGGAAUUGCUUGAUUUGAUUUUAACCCACAAAUAACACCAAUUCAAUCAAAUCCAAGUUAGUGUAAUGAGUGGAUUUGAUGAAACCUCAAUCACAACAUUGUCCAUAAUAAGAACACGAGAAAGAAACUAAAAUUUAAAAAGCACAGCAAAACUUCUUGCCGGGGAGGAAGAAAUGACAAACUUUGGUAUUUUCUCAUUGAAAUGGUAGACAAUAAUACAACAACGGUGUAACAUUGGUACAAUAAAGAUAUGUCUGUCACUAUUUGCUGCACGAGGACCUUCAAACUACUUAAUUCAUACAGAAUAUCUUUCCAUUAUGCCCCAAGAGAAAAGAAGAAACAUAUGUACAAGGGUUGAGCUUUUAUGGAACCCCUCCAGAGGGUCUCACUGUUUUGUGAAAGGCCGUGUAUAACAUUUGUGAAGGGAUAAAUCCUGAACUAUUGAGCAUAUAUGUAAUAGGCCAAGUCAAAUAAAAGCCGCAUCUUUCUGUUGUUAGUUUUCAAAUUUGUAUCAAUUGUGGGAUAAGCUUCAAAAGGAAAGAUAAAUCCUGCUGUGAAAAUUGUGGAUUUGAGUUCCCCUGCACCGUCACACUCCCCUCCGUAAAACCCUCCCCAUCACCACCCUUUUUUGGCUUUAUCAUAUCUGCAACUGCUUCGGUUAUUUCUUUAACCAGAUCCACAAUUACUCCAUCAAUUCCCAUUAGAUGUUGCAUGUAAACUGCCUCAGGAACAUUGCUGCAAUGUCAAAUAUAAUCAUGAGCCAAAAUGUUACACCAAACACAUUCUUUUCUCAAGCAAUUAACAAAGGAAAGAGAGUACUAAAAACAAGCAUACUUUAAUUUGCCGUAAGAAAGGAGGCAGAGCUUGGACUCCUUUAUCUUGGUUACUGUAGAAGGAUCUCUAAAAAUCCCUUUAAUUUCUGAGACAAUUCCUUCCAAUCCAUUCUCAACAGAGAGCUUCAUGGCCUCCUCCAGUGAGUUUCUUCUCACAUCUUCAUAGAUUUCACAUCCUCCAUUUGUCAAGAAAAAGACCUGGUUGUUCCCAACAAAUUAACCACAACAUCAGAUCCAGUUAAAGAAAUAAAAUAAUUUCUCAGAACUAAAAAGGCUUAAAGAACUAACAGGGUAGUUGCUUUGCAAUUUCCGGAUGAGCAAGGCUGCAUCUGGCUGGAAUGUUGAGAAGAUAAUAGGUCUAUCCUUGGCGUAUUCAAACACAACCUGCACCCCACAAAUACCAAAGACAAUGAGAGAUCCAAGUCACCACUUUUGAAAUGUAAAACUAAAACAAAACACUCAGUGUCCCCCAUAAACACAUUUUAGGCUUAAAAUAGACUCUCUUAGCGUACCUUUAAGAUGGUUUGAAGGACAUGGACGAGAUAAUCUUGCUCAUAGACAAUGUGAUCAUCGAACUUCAACUCAAUAUUAAAACCAAUAGCGGGUUCCACCUUCACAAAAGCCUCUUGGAGAGUGCAAAGUGAGUCAUCUUGUUCAACAUCCCAUGGCAUUAUCUUCCCAUCUUUUUUCCUUAGCAAAACCUUUCCCUCAUUGCCAUGCUCUCUCUGAGGCCCAUAAGAAAGAAACUCUGAGAGACUCAGCUCUGUGAUCCUCCUUCCAGUUACAGCACCCUGCAAAACACAUUAAUUUCAACGUAACAAACCCAAAAAACUCGACCCAUUGAAAAGAAAAAGAAAGAAAUCAUCAAAGCUAAGCAAAAACAAAAAAACUCACAUUCUCCUCCGAGAAGAUGAAAUCGUCGUGGAAAAUGACGGGGCAAUCAUCUCUCGUCACCUACAAAAAACGUGCAUUUUUUAAUUCGUUUUCUUUUUUUUUUCUAUAAAAAAUGCAACGCGUCAAACAAAAACAAACAAGCAGCCAAUCAGUACCGAACAGACGGUCAAAAAAGGGCCGAGAAAGGCAAAUUAUUUACAGAAAAGCCAUCGGGGUAAAAUAGGAAAAGAAGAAAAGUAGUUGUUGCGAAACACAAGAAGCGAAAACGGUGCGCGCGGUGGAACAUUAAAUUAUUGCAUUGAGUGCAAAAGCAGAAAGAGGAAAAUAAAAGAAAAGGUCACCUGAACGUCAAAUUCUAUGAAAUCGAGAGGAAAAGUAGAGGCGGCGUUGAAGGACAUAAUGGUAUUUUCCUUUAUGGCUCUCAUUCUUCGAUCCGAAGAUUGCAGAACGUUCAUGCCGUUACCCCUGUGGCCGAUGACGACGAACUUGGGCAUCUUGAAGCCACUCCGAGCAAUCUCGACCCCUGCAUUAACGAUUAAAAGAAUGUUAGGAAGAAAAGAUGGGAAGAGGAAGAAGAGAAGGAAAGAGAUGGAAAGAACCGUUGGGGAAGCGGGAGGAGCAGAGGGCGAGAGAGGCAUUCUCGGGGACGUGGUCAAGGGAAGGGACGUCGGUGACAUGGACGGCCUUGAGAGCCAUUUGGGUGGAAGGAAAGAGAGAAAGGAGGAAGGGGAAAGGGAGGUGGUGAUGAGGAGGGCACCGGAUGGUUUGUGGGUGAUGGUGGUGGUGGUGAAGAACAAGGCAUGGUUUGGUCCGCUAUUUAUUGCUUCCACCUACGCCAAAUUCACCCUCCAACGGAUCUCCCCACGAAUAUUCCCCUCCCAUCUAUAUGCUUGGGAUAUUCCCUUGUCAUUUUCCACCCUUUCAAUUUCAACCUACACUUUUUCUUUUUCUAUAUCUAUAUCUUCAACAAAAUAUGUCAUUAUAGAUUUUUUACUAAUUUAUUGGACUAGAUUUUCGUCUAAUAUAUUAAUAAUAAUACCAUAUUUAAAUAAAAUAUUUAUAUAUAUCAUCCAAAUAAGUUCAAAAUAAUAACUGAAAAUUUUGAAACCGAACAAUUUUUUUUUAUACAAAAUUUAAAAACAAACACCUUUUCAACCAUUUAAACCACUAAAACAACCAACAAUUGUUUUAUCUCUUACUACAACUUCCAAAAAUAAAGCAAUUGACCAUGAAUACCUUUCAAUUCCAACAGACUUUGAAGCUAGCAUAAAAAAAUCUUGAAACAAUAUCGGAUAACUAGGAAUUGGUUCGAUCAAUUUCCAGCACAAACUGUUCUAGACACCAAAAAUGGAAGCCCUAUGACCAUUUUAAGAGGAAAAGCUAUACAUCUUUUAAUUGGAUGAUUUUAUUUAUUUUUUAAAUAAAAAAAGUAAUUCUUUAUUUAUGUAAUAAAAUAAAUUAUUAAAUAUUGUUUGUUUAAAAAAAAUAAAUUUCUAAAAUAACACUUGCGUAAAAUUAUAUAUAUUUUGUAGUGAUUGGAAACAAUGCUGUGGUGGUGGCGGGUGAGAAGUGGCUGGGUGACAGCUGGGGUAUUAUGUUAUAGUCGUUGACCUGUGACAAGGCAAACUACAAGGUUUUUGAAGAAAAUCUGUGGUGGGAUCGUCCGAACAUUGCGGACUACGGUAUUUUAUAAGAUAGAGGAUGAAUGAAGAAACAUAAUUGAUCGGGUAUGACGUGGUGACACAACAGCAUGUAGAUAGAUAGAGAAAGGUGGGUGGUUAUAAUUGGAUAAGACUACAAAAAGGAUUUAGGAAUGACUCAUGGCUGCCUUUGCCAAACUAUUAAUUUUAUUUAAUGAUAAAAAUUGAUGUUGUCUUUGUACUUUUAGGAAAACAAACAAAAAGUUAAAAUACGGUGGAAACAAUUUGAUAAAAAAAUUGGAAUUUUUUUUGAAAAUAAUGUAUUUUAAUUAGUUUGAUAUAAAAUAGAAACAUUAGGAAAUAUCACAUUCUAUGUUUUUAAUCUUUACGAAAAUAUUUAUUAGUAUAAUUACGUGGUACAAGUAAAAAUCUUCUAGAUAAACUAGAAUUCUCUAUAAGUUGAAUUGCUGUCUGAUUGAGGAGAAGCGGAUUGAGCUUCAAGAAAAAGGAAAAGUAGAGAAAGAUUCAUGUACAAAAUAAAGUUAAUAAAAAAGUAUAAAUAGUAUAAGUGUGAAUAGGAGAUAUACCUGGAUCAAUAGACACACAUUAAAUCGAUUAAUAUUUCAUAUAUGAUAAUAAGAUCAAGAGAUAAUAUGAAUAAAUUUGGAUUGGACUCAAAUAAACCUUUAUUAUAAAAGUUAUUGGGUUUGGACUUAUUUAGUUUUAAAUAUAUAAUUUUGGUUUAAUAAAUUUUAAAUGAUUUUUAUUUUUAUAAAAUUAAAGUAUACAUGAGAGAGUCCGUGUAUAUAUUAAUCUCACAUGACAUUAAAAUCGAGUUUUAUAUUAAAAGUUUUAAAUGUACAAAGGUGAACUUCAGGGAAGACAAAGUAAAAAAAAUUAAAAAUUUUAAGUGGAUCUCCCUUUAAUUUAAAAAUGCAAAUGAGAUUGGGAAAAAGAAUCGAAGAUCCGUAUUAUUAGAUUUGUGUGAGAAAAAAAAAAUCGCAUUCUUUCGUUCAAAAUUUUCUUAAAAAAACUGAAUUUAUAUGUGAUAGUAGCUCAUCCUCUGCAAUUAUAAAAAUAAAAUAGACUAAAUUCUUAUUACAAAGCAAGAGAGGAGGAAAAGAUCUAAGAGUUUUUAUAUCUUGGUAUGCAUUUAGCUACAGUAUGAGCUCCAGAUUUAACUGAUAACAUAGUCCAUGUAAUUUAAUUUGGACAAUGAAUGAAAAGUGACAAUGACUUCCAGAUAUCCAUGAUUUAAAUUACAAUGGAAAAAUAGAAGAAGAAAUGAGGAAGAAUGUGAGGGACUGGGACUAAUUAAUAUAUUAAAUAUUUUACAUCUAACUCUCUUAAUGUAUACACUUCUUCUGAACUUUAUCUGAGAUGAACAGUUAUAGAGAUGAACAGUCAGAGAGGGUGUUGAAAGAGAGAGCUCCCAAUGCAAUUCACAUCCUCCGCUUCAUGCUCUACCAUAUCACUCUCAAAUGGCUGCCAUGCAAUGUGCUCUAACUUCUCUUAUGGACUCUCAAAACAAACCAUAUGCCUUCAACAAAUCAACAUUAGAAUUACCUUUCCAGGACGCUUCUUCUUCUUCCAGCAACAAUGAGAAAUUCUCUUCAAAAUCCAAAAAGUACUCCUCUAAUUUACACCUCACCAUCUUUCAGCCAUGGGAAAUCAUACACCCCAAGUCCCAACUCGAAUUCCCAUGCAUCUCAACAACAAUCCUCUUUCUCUCUAAUAAAGAACGAAGAAAGAAAGAACGAGCGAUUUUUUUCCCUCACACAAACCUUAUAAUACGGAUUCUUAAUUUUUUAAUGCCAUGUAUGAUUAAUGUAUACAUUGAUCAUAUCACGUAAGCGAAACUUAAACGAUCUUUUGUUCAAUUUGACGGCAGGCUCUAAUUACUUCAAUUUUUAAAAAAUAAGGAUCUAAUUAAGAUGGCAUAAAAAAAAAGGGACUUAUUUGACAUUUUGGACCAAAAUAGGAACAAACCGAGACAUUAAACCUAUAGUCUUUCAUAAUUAUUCUUUUCCAUUUGUUAUUUAAAAAACGUUAAAAUUAGAAAAUGUUAAUUUAUAUAACAAAGAUAAUAAAGAAUUUUAAAUGGAAAUAAUUAUAAUUUUAAAGCAUAAAAUUUAAUAAAUCUAUACUUAUAUAUAUAUAUAUAUAUAUAUAUAUAUAUAUAUAUAUAUAUAUAUAUAUAUAUAUAUAUAUAUAUAUAUAUAUUAUGGGUUUGUUAACGUGCGUAUGCCUCUUUUCAGUUGGUACAUUUUAACAAUGUGUACCGGAUUAUAGUAGACAAAAAUAUCAUCAUAUAUUAUGGAUUCUAAGUUUUAAAGUCAAGGAUAUUUAAAUAAUUUUCAUUCUGAAAACUAAAAAAAAAAAAGAAAUCCCCAAACCCUUACUCACCUCUCCCAUUCCUAUCAAUUCUUUCUGUUUCAUUUCUCUCACUCCAACUUUUUCUCUGUCAUUUUUACUAUAGCCCCAAUUAAAAAAAAUUAGAAAAACUUGCUGUUAAGAAAUUUCUUACAAAAAAAUGAUUUUAUAAUGAGUUUUCAUUUUAUAACUUUUGUCUUAUCUAAUUUUCACAAGCAUAAUGACAUAUGAAGGAAUUGGUAAUUCGCCUGAAAAAAAAAAUAAAAAACACUCGCUAUUAAACAAUUUCUUACAAAAAAUGAUUUUAUAAUGAGUUUUCAUUUUAUAAUUUUUGUCUUAUCUAAUUUUAUUUAAUUUUCACAAGCAUAAUGACAUCAGAAGGAAUUAGUAAUUGGCCUGAAGAUUUUUUAAGAAAUGACGAUUCAACAUCUGCAGAUGAUGAAAUUAGAGAUGUUAGUGAAGAUGAUGAAAUUGAAGAGAUCUUGAAUGAACCUUUGCCUGAAAGCGAAUAUGCCAAUGACUCAACUCUUUACAAAGGUAAAUUGUUUAAGGAUGAGUAUUUCUAAUUUUUUUUUCAAUUGGAUCUACCAUAGGAUGAUAGAGAAACGGUUGGAGUGAGAGAGAUGAAAGAGAAAGGAUUGAGAGGAAUGAGAGAGGUGAGUAAGGGUUUGGGUUUUUUUUUUNUUUUGUUUUGAGAAUGAAAAUUAUUUAAAUAUCCUUGACUUUAAAACUUAGAAUCUUAAUAUAUGAGGGUAUUUUUGUCUACUAUAAUCCGGUACACAUUGUUAAAAUGUACCAACUGAAAAAUAGGCGUACAUAUAUAUAUAUAUAUAUAUAUAUAUAUAUAUAUAUAUAUAUAUAUAUAUAUAUAUAUAUAUAUAUAUAUAUAUACAAACACACACACACAUACGGGGUUUGUUAACAUACGUAAGCUAUAUUUUUACAGUUAAUACAUUUUAGCAAAGUAUACCGAGUUUUAGUAGACAAAAAUACCCUUAUACAUUAUGGAUUCUAAGUUUUAAGGUCAAAGAUAUUUGAAUAAUUUUCGUUCUUAAAACUAGAAAGAAAAACAAGAAACCUGCAAACCCUUAGUCACCCUUCUCUCAUCCCUCAUUCCUCUCAACCAUUUCUCUUUUAUCACUCUCUGUAACCUUUUCUCUGUCAUCCCUAUAAUAGCCCCAACUGAAAAAAAAAAAAUCAGAAACACUCGCAUAACCCUAAUCCACCUUCCUCAUUUAUCCAAUUUGUUUCUCUCUCAUCUUCACCUCUCUCGUCCACACACAGUAACUCGCGACAUUGCAAUUUGUAGUUCUUGCUCUGUUCGUUCAUUUGUUUCCACUUUAAUAACAAAAUAAUUGAUGAUGUUGAUGUUGAUUUUUGAUUGAAGGGUUGUUAUAUUUUUUUCCCUUAUGAUUAUUAUUAAAUUUUGUUUUUAAAUUUUAGAAUUAGUAGUUUAUCUAUAGGGAGAUUUGAUAUUUUGACUAUUAAGUUGUCCGAAAAUAUUUUUCAGAAGAGAAAAAUAGUUACGUGGAAAGGCGAUUCCCGAAAGGGUAAGUCAUUGUCCAAAAAAUGGAUUUCUGAAGUCAGUUCUUAAAAAUAAUUCUAAAAACAUAUUUUGCGCUGAAAGCAAUACUUUGGAAUAUACUUUUCACCUUCCUGCAUAUAACCAACGUCAAAACACAACAAAAAAUGAAGCUCAUGUACAUCGUACUAAAUGAUUUAACAGGAAAAAAUUAUUGAAGAGAGUUAUGAACAUAAAAGAAUUUUGUUGUUGUCCACUAGACUUUUCACUCAAUUCUGGUUGUGUAAUAUUGUUCAUCACUCCUGAUGUCCACUAGACAAACUCGUCUAGGUACCGCUUAAUCCAACCAAGUUAAGCCUUAAGUGUUUGAAUUAUCUUCAAAAUAUGCAAUCAAUCAAAUCACCUACAAGUCAUUAGAUGAUUACUCUCAUAGUGAGGAUUUGCUUACAAUAUAAUUCAAUCUAAUAGACUUUUGAAAUUUUCUUUUUUCUUACAAGUGUAACUUUCUAACUCUAAACAACUCUGAGAGUAUUCUUGAUCUUUCAAUGAGGAUGAUUUUUCUUUAUAUUCCUUAUGUGUCCAUCCUUUUUUCCUUCUUAACCAGAUAUCUUCUCUUUAUAAGCGUUUUUUGAGAAUUUAGUCGUUAGAUGAUGCUUGUCUUUGAAUUUUAGCUCUUUGUAGCCUGCCUUUAUCAUAGGUGGUUGUCAUAGGUUGAGGUCUACUUGUCAAAGUAGGCUUACUUUUUUAGUACUUUAUCAAAAGUAGGUUGUACGAAUUCUUUGGCUCGACUUUUGAUAAGAAGGUCAUUCCAUGAAUGUCUUCUUUGUCUCUAACUUGUAUUUGAUAGAGAAGGUGGAUGCUUGACUUAGGUAAUUUGCAUAAAGUAGAGUAGAUAUUCAUACAAGCAUAUAUGUCUGUUUUCCUUUCACUUUUGCUAUUUUGAGACAUUGUGUUUUUUAAUGCGCGUUUAGAACAACUAUAAGUAUUUUAAAAUUUCCUUGCUCAAGCAGCAUUUGGUUGUUUAAGCAUUCUAGUAGAGAUACCUAGUAGAUCAUGAGAGUUUCAUCAUUGGAUGAAAACUUCGUUUAGCACAUGAUAUCGUUUAGCCUAUGCAAGGCUUUUCAUAAUAGUGCCUUGUUUAAUAAAUACUCGUUUGAUUUAAGAGCGCAUUUAGUGAGAUAUCUUUCAACAUCAAUUUUUGGAACAAUGAUUGUAUCUUUUAGCACAUUUACCAAAAACAUCAUUUUAUAUAUAUCAUAGUGAGAUCUUGUUUAGCUUUGUUUAGCAAAGUAUAGCACAAAUGUGUUUAACAAGACUCUCAUAUAGCUCAAUGACGCAUUUAGUAGUGAAAUCGUUUAGUAGUGCAUCUACUUAUGUAUUAGUGCAUUUAUUAAAGUUUUUUCUUUCAUGGAAAGUCUUUUUAUGUAGCGAUAUGAGUUUUACAAAGGUAAUACUUUGUUAAUCAUCUAUUUCGGUCAUAUUCUUAUUUACUAAUUCUCAAGUCAUGUGAAGAUGCUAAACAAUCUUGAUCUUAUCUUAGCAAACUUCCUUUCUUCUUGUAGUACUGAUUUAUUGUGUAGCACUAUCGUUUUGUAUUAUGUCUCUUCUUAGGAAUGAAUUGUUUUCUUUUAGGAUGAAGAUAUAUUCUUUUAUUUUACGAAUAUUUUAUUUGCAAUGCGUGAUUACUUGAUAGAUUCUUGCACUCAAUGUUUUGUCAGUUUUACUUGGACACUUCUUAUGCUUAUUGCUUUGUAAUUGUAUAUUUGUAGGCAUACUGUAUGUAGGCUUCUUCUAUGUUUCUAUGUUAUUUCAGCUUAUCUCUUUUGUUGUUUAACAACUUAUGUAACUUUAGAUGUAACCUUGAUUUUUACUUUGAUUUGGCUUGACAAUAUAGAUGCUUCUAACCUUAGACGUUUUUCUUUUGGACAUCUUUUUUCCGCUAAAUGGAUAACUAGAUGGUUUGCAAAGUCCACUUUCUAGUGUUUAGAUGAUUUUUCUUUUACAAUUAUCAGAUAAUGUCAUCGAUAAAUAUAUCAUCCAUAAAUAUCAUCCAUAAAUAUAAUGAAUAAUUGUACUUAAUUUAUCUAUCAUUCUAAAAAUAACUUUUUUUUCUAAUCGACUUAAUGAGUCCACUACUAAAUUUAUUAUUAUAUAUUAUUUAAUAAUAUUAUCUUGAAAAUAUUUUAUCAAGAUAAUUUUAUGAAAUAUUAAUUAAAAAACAAUAAACAUUUAUAACAUUUAUAAGAAAGUGUGAUAUUUGAGAAAAACAUAAUAUAAUAUUUAAAAUAAAAGACAACUUAUUAGAAGAAAUGAGAAGAACAGGGAUGGAACUAAAGGUUAAUAAAUAAAAUUGAUGUUUUUCUAUUUUUACAAUUAAUUAUUUUUAGAAUAAAAGUUGUGUAUGGAAUUAAAAAUUCUAUACAAUAAUUUGUUAAGAGAUAAAAUAUGGUCGUAGAGGAUUAAUAAUUUAUUUAUUAAUUUUUCUAUUACUUUUGAUAGUUAACCAUGGAUGAUUGUUAUAGUUUUUUAGAACAUUAGUUACUUUCCUUAGUUAGUUUUAAUUUUUUUUUUCUACAAAUAGUUGAGUAAAUUAUUUUUCUAUACCAUAUGUUACGGAUGUUUCUUUAAUUAGUUUUAUACUUUCUAGCAAAUAAUUAAACACAAUUAUUAUCUUACGCAUGAAUGUGAAACAUGAUAUAAAUGUGUAAAAUUAACUUAUGAAAUCUUAUGAAAUAUAUGUUAAUGAAGUUGAAUCUCAUUUUCAAUUAAAAGGAAAACAAACUGAAAGAAAGACAACACCAAUUUCAUUCAUGUAUUUAUGAGGUGUCAAAGUUUCAUUUUAACAUUUUGUCUUUUCACAUAAUAUUAAUUGAAAAAAAAAAGUAAUGAAAAGGUGGAGAAAAAAAUGUAUGAUUUUAGUAUGUCUUCCGUUGUAGCCAAAAAACUGCUCACUGAAAGGAAUUAAAAAAUAGAUUUGAAUAGGAGUCUGUCAGACAACCCUGCAACCAUCCCCAGCUUGUAAAGUCAGGGAACGAUCCUCUACAGCUGGUGAUGGGUCUCGUCCAGAAACGAAGCCCACACUGCCGUUAAUCACGCUCUGAUCACAGGGUAAUAAUUCAUCCACCAGACUUCAGUUCCUGUCUCCUUAGAACUUAAGGAUACAGAGGUACGAACCUAUAGAACAGAUCCUGUUCAAGUAAGGUCGU